CAAUAGCAUAUAUUAACGUUGUUGCAGUUGAAAAGCUCGUAGUUGAACUUUUGGUAGGAGCGACCUGGCCUUGGGCGCAUGCCCUUGUUUGCCGUGUGUCGUAUCUGGCCAUCCUUUUCUUCUUUUUGGAAGGAAUCUUUUACUGUGAGUAAACUGGAGUGCUCAAAACAAGACGUUUGUUUGGUACAUUAAAGCAUGGAAUAAUAAGAUAGGACCUGGUUACUAUUUUGUUGGUUUGCAUAGCUAGGUAAUGAUUAACAGGGACAGUUGGGGGUAUUCGUAUUUAAUUGUCAGAGGUGAAAUUCUUGGAUUUAUGAAAGACGAACGACUGCGAAAGCAUUUACCAAGGAUGUUUNCAUUAA
Molecule: ribosomal RNA, 362 nt
Filed under: uncultured eukaryote
Lineage: Eukaryota
Description: partial 18S ribosomal RNA
Rfam family: Eukaryotic small subunit ribosomal RNA
Source: RNAcentral